Molecule: non-coding RNA, 1628 nt
Filed under: Pongo abelii (Sumatran orangutan)
Lineage: Eukaryota; Metazoa; Chordata; Mammalia; Primates; Hominidae
Source: RNAcentral
GAUGAACUGUUUUCAGCCAGGGUCACCCCAGCCCUGGGGUGGAGGCCCAUUCAGGAUGGUCGAGCAGGUGUGGGCGUCCAGGCAGGUCCAGCAGUCCUGGGGGGCUGAGGAGAAGGAGGUCAGGGCUCAGGGAGGCAUCCGCAGAGGGACCUGGCAGGCAGAGCUCCGGAAGGGAGGGAACUGCACAGACAGAAAGCUCCAGAAGGCUGCCUGAGGGUCUCUGAGGCCUCCGGAGUCGGGCGCCAUGCAUGUGGAAGGUGGACUCUUCAGCAUGGGUGGGACCCUAGGGGGCUGUGGACCCCCGGCCCCUGGGACUCACAGGUGGGAGACAGGAGUUCCGACCGCCAGGGGCGGAGUCCUGGAGGAUCCUGGGCUGUCGGCAGCCACCCAGCAGGGCCCGUCCUGGGAGCCGGGCUGGACUCUUCCUGCAGGAAAGGCUGGGCUGGACCUGCUCUAAGAGGCUUCAGAACCAGCCACAGGAAGACCAAAGUGAAGAGCAAGGAGCUGAACUCCACGCAGAACACAGCGCAGAGUCCUUUAAAGGAAGGCCAAAAGCAACCCAACAAAAAUGCCAGGUGAUCAAAGCCCUCACAACACAAUGUCCACAUCCAACGAGAAAUUGCUGCUACGUCCAGACACAGGGAAAGGUGGCCGUGGGAAUGUGAGUCAGCAGCAACAGGCCCAGAAGGGCAGCCAUGGUGGAGUUGUCAGACAUGGACCCUGAAAUGACAAUUACAGCGUGAUUUCAGGCAGGAGCCUGAAAUGGUACAACUUUGGACAUCGGUUUGGCAAAUUCUUUGAGAGAGAAACACACACCUUCCCUAGGACCCGGCAACUCCACUCCUAGUAACCAAGUGAAAUGGAAGGAGUUGUCCUCAGUAAAACGUGUGUGCGGAAGUUCACACUCACUUCCUCUGUGAUAACCAAGAGCUGAAACCACUGCAACACCCACCAGCAGGUGAACGGAUGAACACACUGGGCUACGGCCACACAAUGAGAUGCUACGUGGCAACACAAAAUGAACCGUGGACACACACUGCAUGGUGGAUGAAUGUGCAGACAUCAGGCCCCGUGAAGGGAGCCAGGCCCCGAGGCGCCACGCUUUGUGAUUCAGGGUGGUCCCUCUGCCCCCAAGACCCAGCUGCCUCUUCCUCUUCCUGGCUGCAGGGAGUGCUUGUGUCUGAAGAACGCCAGGCCGGUGUCCCCAGAGGGUGGCUGGAGGGGCUGGGAAACCACAAACCACUUUCACUUUCUCUCUCCUCCACGUCUGCAUUGUUUGGAGAAGAAAGCACGCAGCCAAACAGUGUAAAGAGGCUCAGAGGAGGCCUGGGUGCCCUGGAGAGGCCCUGCGUCGCACAGCAUCCCUGUCCUGCAGUGGAGGUUUCCCAGAUGAAGGGGUCCCCGGCGGGAGACAGGGCCCUGCACACAGGUCCUCUGCCACGCUGCUCACCAUGCUGUGCGUUAUCUCACUAUGAAAAGUCACCUAGGCCGAGCACGGUGGCUCGCGCCUGUAAUCCCGGCACUUUGGGAGGUGGAGGUGUGCGGAUCACUUGAGAUCAGGAGUUUGAGACCAUCCUGACUAACAUGGUGAAACCCCGUCUCUAGGAAGAAUACAAAAAUUAACUGGG